Sus scrofa (pig) is the source of this 5166-nucleotide non-coding RNA. The record is from RefSeq and is a predicted model, not a curated record. Lineage: Eukaryota; Metazoa; Chordata; Mammalia; Artiodactyla; Suidae.
GGGUCACUUUAUUGUAAAACAGAACUUGUUGAAACAUUGUAAAUCAACUACACUUUAAUAAUAAUAGUAAAAAUAAAAAUAAAAUGUAAAAUCUGGAGGAGAAAAAAAGGCAGUACUGAAGUUAUGUAGAACUUGACUUUGAAUACUGUGGAUUUCCACACAUUGCUUAGAUGGCUUUCAUCUGAGUUGUCUCAUUUAAAGCUCAUUUGAGAAUAGCCGUUGCCUGAUUUUUUAAAGGAAUAGUUCUUAUGAACCUUGAUUAUGGUUCAAACAGCAUGUUUCUGGGCAGAAAAGUAGAGAUUUUGCAUGUUUUAUUCUAUCUUGUCUUAAAUUGUGUUAUGCUGGAGUACUUACAUACCUUUCCAAUCCUGGCAAGAGUCUAACUAGAAAAUUAAGACCAUGUGGAUUGAUAAUCCCACUCCUGACCCAUAGGCAAAUUAUUUUUGUAUUCCAGAUUUCUAAUCUGUAACAUUAGACAAUAAUAGUACCUACCUCAGACGGUUGUUGGGAAGAUUAACUAUCAUGAUAUAGUGUAAUGUGCUCAAUAAAUGUGAGCUAAGUUGAUGAUGAAAGCACUUUUUCUCCAUCCAUAAAUACUGGGUCCAUAACAAUCUUUUUAGGGAGUUUGUGUGGUUUGUAUGAGAUUAUAUUUGUGAUAUUACUGAGCACAGUAUCUUGUUUGCAGCAAAUUUUAAAAUAUAUAUAUAAACCUCUCUCCUCCAUAUAAAGACUUUUUAAACACUUCCUCAACUGCUUUUCAGACUAUGCAUUUCUUUGCUGACAUCAGGUAAGUAGUCUACCCCUAUCCAUUUACUGACUGGUGAGAUUACAUGUGGUUAAACAAAACUGGUAAUCGUUGAAUUACUCAUUCCAUGAGGUCUCUGAUUUCCUUUUAGCAGCUCAUUGCCUUCAGAAGGAUGGAUUCAGUGCUGAGGACCAGGAAUAGGUAGCAGAUUAUGAAAUGAAUAGUAUAUUGUGAUUUUCAAUUUUACAUCCUUUGAUUUAUUUAAUGUGCCCAUAAAGAAGCUGUAACAUUAAUGUAGAGCCAUGCUCAAAUAAUAAAACUGAUCAUGAUCUCUAAUUUGCUUCAAUAGUUUUCUGGAAGAAAAUGUGUAAUUUCAUGAAUUUAUAAAUGAUGCUAAAUUUUACUCUCAAAAACUUAGACAGCUUUAAAUGGUUUUACAAAUAAAUUCAUGAAUGUUAAACUAUUCUAAGGAAAGCUUCAACUCACUGUGAUUAUUAGAGAUACAGAUAACAAGCUGUACGGUCAGGCCACUCAAAAUGGCCAUCCCCUUGCUCUCUCUGUACAUCCCCUGCUUGGUCAGCCUCUGCUUCACUCACAGGACAAUCCAGUCUUCUUAAUUAUAGGACUUAGCCCUGGUAAUUGAUGAGCUCACCUGACACCAAUUCCCCCUAUAAAUGGUAACCUCCUUCUCCCCUGAUUUAUGAGGACUUCUGCCAUGUCCUGCCCUCACCCCCCAGUCUGCCACACAGGUGGGGUGUUGCUCCAGGGCCCUUUGAGUAAGGUCCCCUGGCCAAUAAAGUGCAGAUGUCUCUGUCACUGUCUUCAGGCUCUUUAUUCGGUCUUGAGGCUGGGCAGCUACAAGGCUUACAGGUCUUCAGGGUGUAGUCCAACCCAAGCACUGUUUCUGUGCCAGCCUCUUUUUUGAGCACAUACAGAAUCCUAAAAUAAAUAUUCCAGGGCCAUUGACAAUGGCUAUUCCUCAAAUAUAUUCCAGAAAGGCAACUUCCCAAAUUGAUCUGGAAGAAUGGUAUUUUCUGAUGGAUGAAAGGAUAAGAGGUACAAUUUCUCUCAGUUGUGAUUUCACAAAGAAAAUUUUGCUCUAAAGUCACAUAUCUUUUAUCUUUGAACAUAUAUAUAUGGCAUUUAGAGUUUGGCAUUCAAUUUCUUUCUUAUAUUUAAAUAUACUAAUAAAAUAAAGGUUCCACAUUCCCUACCAAACCAAUACAACAUAGCAAUGCCAACCAAAAAUUUCUAAGAAAAUGCUAAAACUAUACUAUUCUUCCUAUGUUAUAUACAAGCAUUAAAAUAUGAGCACAUGGUUUAAAUUCUUAAUAUAAACUUUUCUUAUAGAAACUUAUGUAACAAUGCUCUUGAGUUUUAAAAUACUGGAUGUCUGACAUUUGAAGAAUCAUUCUCUGAGUUAGCAUCCGUUAUUUACAGGGCAAUGGGAUAAGUUCUAGAAUUUCACUAAAGGCCACAUCCAAGCAUAUAUUUACAUUAACUCUGCAGUUUAUUCUCUGGCAAGUAUAAUUUUAAUGAUGCUAAUUUUCUCAUGUUUCUCAUCUUAUUCUCCAGUCAUUUAUCAAGUCUCUGGAUGACGUGUUCUCUGGCAGAAAAAAGAAAAUAAAGGAGAAAAUUUAUGAAAUACAAUUAUUAAGGCUAGACCUAGGGAUAGGAUGUUUAUUUAAAGGGCCAGAGGUAGAGAUGAGGUUAAAAAAACAGAAACAGAGGUCAGGGAGGAAAAAUGCAAUUGAGUAUUUUUUCCUUUUUGAUGUUUAUUUUAUGUAAUUUAUAAUUGUGAAGUAUAGCUUAAUAGGUGCAUUUGAGGGAAGUGAGAUACAGUGAGACAGCAAUGACCCAAAUGGUCCUAUGUGAGUAUGUGUGAUUGUAUACACAUCUGUACAUAACAAAGCCAGCUGACCUGUCAUGAUGGUAUUACCCCUUCCUUGGACUACUUUUAUGUACCACAUUUAUUCUUUACUGAAUAAAAUAGAAUAUAUUUUUCCCUAAAAGUUUGAUCAAUAUAGAACUACAUAUGUUACCUAUUAUACUUAGAAAAUUACAUGGGGAAACUUGAUGGAAAAAAAUCAAGUAUUGAGGCCAUGUGUCAAGUUUAACUCAACUUCUGGUUUGAGUUAAAGAGAAUGAAGCAAUUUAUUCAAAUAAGACCAUUGGUAGAUUAUACAAAUCCAAUAUAAUAUCUGGAAACUCUAGGUCUUUUAGUAACUACUUUUAUGUAAUAGACAGUGAUUAAAUGGGUGACUGAUAUUUCACACUAUGGAUACCUUCAGAUUUUGUGUUAUGCUAUGUCUGGAGAACUUAAUUAACAAUCUACAUCUUGCCUUUUACCUCUGGUCCAGCCAGUAGAAUGUAUCCAUGAGAGGACCAAUUGAAUAACAACAGGCUCAAGCAAAGCUGGUCUACCUAGCAGAGAGAUUGGUGUCUAGUAGAGGAAGAAACUUCUCAGGCUUCUCAGGAGUCAGGGUAAGUGAAUAAGCAAGAAACAAUCUUGGAUGGGAAAGUGGGGUAGGGUGAGAGAGUUGGGUGGGAACGUGGGUGGGAGAGUGGGGUGGGGGCACCUCUUCUACUCUGGGCUAAAUAAAGUCCUUCAGGAGUUUACAACUCCCCAGCCUAAAAAACAAAAUCUAGUUUCUCUUAAGCUAUGUGGACUGAGUGAUGUAAGGCUUGAGAGAAAGGGUUCAUCUGCUUAGGGGGCAGUGCCUUGUUUAUGUUCACAGAUGGGAUGAAAACAUAUAACAGAAGACUCAGGCCUCGCAUUUUGUCUGACUUUUUUUCUUGCAUUAAAAACUUAGGGUUAGGUUUAGAGUUAGAUUAGAUUUCUAGAAUGUUAGAAACUAGAAAACCAUUCCUUAAAGGUAAAUUUUUAUAAAGCCUUUAAAACAAAACAAAAUUCUUUAUGCAUAGUGGAAACCCUGUAAUAAUAUUUUAAAAGUUAAAAACUAGAAUAAAAUUGGGAUAGGAUAGCAUGCUUCCCUUUGAGAAACACCCUUCUUAGUGCAAAUUUAACUUACUUCGAUAUACUGACAACGGUUAAUAAUUGUGGAAUCUUUAUACCUUGUGUGGAUAAUCUCAUUAAAGUGCCAUCAUUUUAGUGAUGAAGAAAAUGAGGCUUAAAUAAAUGGCCCAACAUAGCAGUGGUAAAGUCAGUAUUCAAACUCCAGUUUAUUUCACUCCAAAACCCAGGAUUUUAACCUCUGAAGAUAGAGACUCUUCACAAUGACGAGCCCUCCAAAUUUGAUAGUCAUGUUGAUUAAAAAACCAUUCAAAGUUGCUAUUCACAACCUAGUGGAAGAAGCAGAUUUAUAAACAAAUACAUUGAUUAUAUUAAAGUUGUACAUAAAUAUCUAGGAGCUUAGAAGAAGGAGUGAUGAAUUUUGACUUCAGGGUAUGAGGAACGUUCCACAUAGAGUAUUUUGAGCAUUUUUAUGGUGUCUGUUUUGGGGGAGCAAUUGAUUCAUUCACCUGUGAAAAACUAAUAUCUAGAAAGGCAUUUCCUACCUUUGACUUAACCCUCUGUAAUAUAAGGAUAUUCAGUAAAUGUUCAUAAAGAAGGUUUAAUAGCUAGCACUGAUUCUAUGCUGGCUUAUGUUUUUAAGGGUUGUUGCCAAAUUGCCACCAGCAAGCAGGCUUGGGCCUCAUGGAGAGUGUGUGAUGCAUUGGCAGCUGUGGACCCACCGUGACUGGUUCACCUGGCAACAUGUAGUUCAAAUACUGGGAAGAUGGUCACAUGAACACAUGCAAGUUCCUUUUUACCACCAGUGCAAAUUUCUGUGUGUAUGUGUUUUUUACUUGCUACAGCAGGCUUUUAUUAACUUUGCAGUUUGGAAAACAUCAUAUCAUGAAAAUUUAAACAGAAAACCUCAAUGGAAGCAAUUUAAAAACAAUGCAGACUUGAAAUUGAAUGGGCAGUAAAGAAGGACAGAGGGUCAGAGCUGAGCCAAGACUUGUGGAAGAGCAAAUCCCAGGGGGAAGCAGCAGGUGGAGAGAGAGAGAAACACAGCGAUCAGGUUGAAGGAACAGAGCCUCAGCACUCAGGUGUCACCUGUGCUACCAAAAUACCAGCAGUAGCAAGCAUCCAUGUGCAGGAAGAAAAUGAUCCUAAAGCAAGUAGAUGUGCCAAAAAAGACCGAGGCCUGUGAAUGGAGAAGGGCUGUUGGGAUGGUGGAACUGGACACUGUUCCUUUGGUGUCACUGGUUGAGAAUUGUCCUCAGAGAGUGGUCACGAUAUUAUGCCCUCCCUGCAUCCUUUGUAACAUAUUUUCUAAUUUAUUUUUGUGUUCAGGGAAUACUCACCAAAUGUCUGUCCUGAACUUUGGUACUUCUCAUGGAUUUUACUAGUUUGACUUGUCAUUUUUAGUACAUGCUAUUGUCAUCUUCAUAAAACCCAUUUUAAGACUCUA